Molecule: ribosomal RNA, 468 nt
Filed under: uncultured bacterium
Lineage: Bacteria
Description: partial 16S ribosomal RNA
Rfam family: Bacterial small subunit ribosomal RNA
Source: RNAcentral
GAUGAACGCUGGCGGCGUGCUUAACACAUGCAAGUCGAACGGAAAGGCCCUGCGUUUGUGGGGUGCUCGAUUGGCGAAGGGGGGAGUAACACGUGAGUAACCUGCCCUUGUCUUUGGGAUAACUUCAGGAAACUGGGGCUAAUAUCGGAUAGGAUCUCCUGCUGCAUGGUGGGGGUUGGAAAGUUUCGGCGGUUGGGGAUGGACUGGCGGCUUAUCAGCUAGUUGGUGUGGUAGUUGCUUACCAAGGCUUUGACGGGUAGCCGGCAUGGGAGGGUGACCGGGCACAUGAGGACUGAGAGACGGCGCAGACUGCAAUGGGAGGCAGCAGGGGGAAGUAUGACACAGUAAGCGGGAGCCUGAUACGAAGACGCCGGGUGCGGAAAGACCGGCUUCUGGGUAUGAACAGCUUUCGCCUGUGACGAAGCGGGAGUGACGGUACCGAAUAAAGAAGCACCGGCUAACUACGUG